UCGCUAUUUAGCUACAGGCAGUGUCAGUGUGCUUCAAUUCACUCCUGCUUUUUCCUUGGCAGACCACAAGCUGCAGAUUCUUACUACCUACAGAGUCUGGAACAGAGGGAGGGUUGUGCUGCAGGCCUGGAGACAGCUGGGAUAAUUAGAGCACCUGAAGAUCCUGAUAGGGUCUUCAAAGUUUUAAGUGCCACUGGCAUGAAAAAGCCCUUCAUUUCUAGCAUGUUGUUGAAGCACUAUAAAGAUGAGAACUCUUCACUUCUGCCAGGAAAGUUUGCUGAUGGGUUGAAUGUCUUGAGGAUGAAAAGGUAUAACCCUCUUUUUCUUUAAGGCUUCAAUGAAGAAAUUAAUGCUAAGUCAAGAGGGGUUUACAAAAUUGACAAAGUGCAUGAAAGAAAGAUUAAAGAAAUUUCUUGUGAAAAAAAUGUACAUUUUUAGGUAGGAAAAGGCUUGACUAUUCUAUUUGUCCUUGCUGUUUAUUCUCUAAGUUAACAUAGUAC
Molecule: long non-coding RNA, 500 nt
Filed under: Cyanistes caeruleus (blue tit)
Lineage: Eukaryota; Metazoa; Chordata; Aves; Passeriformes; Paridae
Description: lncRNA (ENSCCEG00000000772.1)
Source: RNAcentral